CACGCGCGCCACACUGAGGGGAUCAGCGUGUGUUUACCCUUCGCCGACAGGCGCGGGUAACCCGCUGAACCCCACGCGUGAUAGGGAUCGGGGAUUGCAAUUAUUUCCCAUGAACGAGGAAUUCCCAGUAAGCGCGGGUCAUAAGCUCGCGUUGAUUAAGUCCCUGCCCUUUGUACACACCGCCCGUCGCUACUACCGAUUGGAUGGUUUAGUGAGGUCCUC
Molecule: ribosomal RNA, 222 nt
Filed under: Acinetobacter baumannii
Lineage: Bacteria; Pseudomonadati; Pseudomonadota; Gammaproteobacteria; Moraxellales; Moraxellaceae
Description: partial 16S ribosomal RNA
Rfam family: Eukaryotic small subunit ribosomal RNA
Source: RNAcentral